GUCCUUUUGAUUUUUAUUUAAGGUCUGACCUGCCCACUGAUUUAUUUAAUGGCCGCGGUAUUUUGACCGUGCAAAGGUAGCAUAAUAAUUUGUCUUUUAAUUGAAGGCUUGUAUGAAUGGUUGGACGAGAAAAUUACUUUCUUUAUAAUAAAAUAAUUAAUUUUAUUUUUUAGUUAAAAAGCUUAAAUGUUGUUGUAGGACGAGAAGACCCUAUAGAACUUUAUACUUAUUUUUAUAUUAAUAUUUUUGGUUAAUAAUAUAUUGUAUUUUUAUAAGUAUUUUGUUGGGGCGACAAGAAAAUUUAUUUAACUUUUUUUUAUUAAUUUCAUUAAUUAAUGUAUAAAUGAUCCUUUAUUACGGAUAAUUAGAAUAAGUUACCUUAGGGAUAACAGCGUAAUUUUUUUGGAGAGUUCUUAUCGAUAAAAAAGUUUGCGA
This 435-nucleotide ribosomal RNA is filed under the name Glaenocorisa propinqua. RNAcentral describes it as "partial large subunit ribosomal RNA". Lineage: Eukaryota; Metazoa; Arthropoda; Insecta; Hemiptera; Corixidae. The record is from RNAcentral.